GAUGAACGCUGGCGGCGUGCUUAACACAUGCAAGUCGAACGGGCGAGGCAUACAAGGAGUUUUCGGACAACGAGUAAGCCAAGCUAGUGGCGGACGGGUGAGUAACGCGUGGGUAACCUACCUUACAAAGGGGGAUAACAGUUGGAAACGACUGCUAAUACCGCGUAAGACCAAGCUAGUGCAUACUAGAGAGGUAAAAGACGAAAGUCGAUGUAAGAUGGGCCUGCGUCUGAUUAGAUAGUUGGUGGGGUAAGAGCCUACCAAGUCGACGAUCAGUAGCCGACCUGAGAGGGUGAACGGCCACAUUGGGACUGAGACACGGCCCAA
Molecule: ribosomal RNA, 327 nt
Filed under: uncultured bacterium
Lineage: Bacteria
Description: bacterial SSU rRNA
Rfam family: Bacterial small subunit ribosomal RNA
Source: RNAcentral